AGAGCUUGAUCCUGGCUCAGGAUGAACGCUAGCGGCAGGCUUAACACAUGCAAGUCGAGGGGCAUCGGGAGGGAAGCUUGCUUUCCUUGCCGGCGACCGGCGCACGGGUGAGUAACACGUAUGCAACCUGCCCUCUUCAGGGGGACAACCUUCCGAAAGGGAGGCUAAUCCCGCGUAUAUCGGUUUCGGGCAUCCGAGAUCGAGGAAAGAUUCAUCGGAAGAGGAUGGGCAUGCGGCGCAUUAGCUAGACGGCGGGGUAACGGCCCACCGUGGCGACGAUGCGUAGGGGUUCUGAGAGGAAGGUCCCCCACACUGGUACUGAGACACGGACCAGACUCCUACGGGAGGCAGCAGUGAGGAAUAUUGGUCAAUGGGAGAGAUCCUGAACCAGCCAAGCCGCGUGAGGGAAGACGGCCCUAUGGGUUGUAAACCUCUUUUGUCGGAGAACAAAACCCGGGACGAGUCCCGGACUGCGUGUAUCCGAAGAAAAAGCAUCGGCUAACUCCGUGCCAGCAGCCGCGGUAAUACGGAGGAUGCGAGCGUUAUCCGGAUUUAUUGGGUUUAAAGGGUGCGUAGGCGGUCCGUUAAGUCAGCGGUAAAAUUGCGGGGCUCAACCCCGUCGAGCCGUUGAAACUGGCAGACUUGAGUUGGCGAGAAGUACGCGGAAUGCGCGGUGUAGCGGUGAAAUGCAUAGAUAUCGCGCAGAACUCCGAUUGCGAAGGCAGUGUACCGGCGCCAGACUGACGCUGAGGCACGAAAGCGUGGGGAUCGAACAGGAUCAGAUACCCUGGUAGUCCACGCAGUAAACGAUGAAUGCUGGUUG
This 823-nucleotide ribosomal RNA is filed under the name uncultured bacterium. RNAcentral describes it as "bacterial SSU rRNA". It matches the Rfam family "Bacterial small subunit ribosomal RNA", at positions 8 to 822 of the family's 1533-position model. The record is from RNAcentral.